This is a non-coding RNA of Podarcis muralis (Common wall lizard), 3457 nucleotides long. NCBI's taxonomy places the organism in Eukaryota, Metazoa, Chordata, Lepidosauria, Squamata, Lacertidae. The record is from RefSeq and is a predicted model, not a curated record.
UAAAAAUAACAUUCUUGGCAAUACUGUACAUUCAUUUUCAUAACUGAAAUUCUUCCCCAAAGUGAUAAAUUCAUCCUUCCCCAGACAUCCGUAAUUUCUUUAUCUCUUUCCAUGUUGUUACAUACCUAUCCUUAAAAAUAUUUAUAUUCUUGACUGUUAGCCAUACCUUCACCUUUCCCCUCAAUUAUCAAUUGUGUUGCUACUUGUAGCUCAUUUUUAUUUUGUUCUGUCAUAUUUUUCACCAGUAGGUUUGUUUUAUUUUUAUUUAACUUGAAUCCUGCCACCUGUCCGACCUCAGAUAUUGUGUAUAUUUGGUAUACUCGCCAACAGGUUUCCUACAAGGUCAUCUGCAAAUGAUCUCCUUUUAUUUGCUGUGCACCCAUCUGUUAUACCUUUUAUUUCUUCAUCAGAUCUUUUGUUCCUUGCCAGGGUCUCUAAUACAAAUAUACAAUAAACAAUAAAAUAAACAGUAACUAAAAUAAACAAUAACAGUGACAGGGGUCAACCCUAUCUUGUCCCUUUUGUAAUUUUACAUUAUCCUGUGCCUCAUUACAUCAAUACAUCAAGCCCAAAUAGGCUCACCACCCAAGCGGGGUGGGGGCGGGAAGUCAAUCCUGGCUUUCAGAAUGUAGUGAUCAGACCAUGGCACUUCCACAAGUGAGGACAUGAUCCUCACCAAAAAUCAUACUAUACCCGCACCAAAAAUCAAAUCCAGCAUGUGGUGAGAGCCCUAAUAUUGCCAUGGAAGACACCAGGUCCAGAGCCUGUGAGGAGGGGGUGGCAUCAGCAUGGACAUUGAAGUCCCCCAAAACCUCCAAGACCCAGCCUGCCGCCACAUCCAACAGGCCUGACAGGGUGGCUACUGGUGGUUGGUACACCAGCCAGACAGCCAAGCUCUCCUUUGUGCCCCACACUAGGCCAGCACAUUCAAUGCUGGAGAUUGAUGGUGAUGGCAGAGCCCUGAAAGAGCAAUCCUUCUGGAUUAACAACGCUCAAUUUUAUGCUCAAUUGAGAUUUUAUGCUCUUUAUGCUCAAUAAUCUCCUCUUCAGUUCUUCUAAUUCUUCUAAUUCCAAACUCACGGGUUUAUCUUCCUCCUUCGUGCAGGUAUUGUUUCUUAUUGGCGUUUGCUUUGGUUCUCUGCCGGGGACUGGCUGCCUCACUGUCUCAUCCUUGAAAACCCUUAUCAGGGGUCCUAGGAGGCCAUUUUGGAUGAAGGCAGAGUGACCGGAAAGAGGCGCCACCAGAGGAGAGGCAAAUGAAGACAUGCCACCACCGCCAUAUUGGUUGAGGGCAGUUGGGCCUAGCCUGGCCAUUUUGUGGCACUGGUCUCCCUUGUGAGCAUUUCCCUGAGCGCUAAGCUCCUUCAGGAGCUGCCCAGGUAGACUGCCACUGGCACGGGAGGCUCCACCCGAGAGAAGAAGCGCCUAGGAGGCCAGGGUAGCCCCACAAGGUGGGCUUCUGUCCCCCUGGGCGUCUUUUGGGGUACAGGGGCCUCCGCCCUGCCAACCUUUGGCCCCCCUCACCCUGCCGGCUUGCAGAUAAGCUGGGCCUCCAUUUCUUAGCUGGGCCGCCUCCAGGAACCCAAGUGCUGGCGCCUGCAACUUUGCCUGCGACUGCUGGGAUUGCUCUGACAAGAUCCAUUGACACUAGUUUUGGCGUCACCAAAGGAAUCAGGGAGAUGUGCUUCAAUUCCCCUCGCAGAUAGUAUUUAACCCAUCACAGCAUCUCUCAAAGCACCCUGGGAACUGUAGUUUCCUAUGGGGGGAGAGAAUAUUCUGCACAACCUUUCCCAAGGGAACUCUGGGAGUUAUAACUCUGAGAGGGUCUCUUUGGGAAACAGAACAAACUACAGUUCCCACGAUGUUCCCCAAAGCACCAUGGGAACUAUUGCUUGCUCUGGGUGUUGAGGGUUGCGAAUCCCUUGACAGAUCUAGUUCCCAAGCCCAUUUCUUUUCCUAGGGAACUCUGGGAACUGUAGCUCAUGGGAGGAACAUCACUUGGUGUCCUGAAUUCUGGGAACUGUAGCUUGCUCAGGGCGCCUGAUUCCUUCUCCUUCUAGGCUACCGGAAUGGGCUGGAACCGCCAAGUGUCACCUUGGCCUGCGACUUUGAAGGCACCGCCUGCAGCUGGGAGGACGUCAGCAUGUCUGGGUACUGGUGGUGCCCAGGGUGGGGCAGAGGCUGGGUGUGCGGCCCCGACUCCCCCUUCAACCACAUUCUGGGCACCGACCAGGGUAAACUUGCUUCAUUUGAAAGGCAGAGAAGCAUUGCUUAGCAGGUAGAGCACCCCUUUGACCUGGCGCCCCCCAACCAGGCUGGUACAUGAGCACCUCGGAGCAGCGAACCAAGCCGCCUGACUCCGCUCCCUGACCAUGAGUGACGCAGCCACAGCCUGUGAACUCCGCACCUGGUACAGUAUGGCUGAGAAAGGGGUUUUCACACCGUACAGUAUCUGCUCUCUGACCGGGCUUGGUUUAAAAGCCUCCAAGUAUUCCUUGGAUCGAGCAGUGCUAAUAUUUGCUCUGCUAAUCUUUCCACCAAACUGGCCAGCUUCUGGAUUAAACACUGGAUGAAAUGCAGAUUACGUUCUGUAUUUAAAACAAAUGUCAAAUCAAUAAAAAAUUUUCAGGAGAAAUGCUAAAAAUAUAAUUGAGAAGAGACAAUUUAAGGAAAAUUCACCAGAAAGUAUUCCUCUUUGUUGCGGUUAGUGGCUGUGGACAUGGCAUAACAUUACAGCACAUGACUCCACCCCCCAAGAAUCAUGGGAACUGUAGUUUGCCCCUAAACUAUAAGUCUCAGCACAACACAUGACUGGCUUAUCAUAGAGACCACUGCAUGCAAAAACUUGUGGUGCUAGAAGAUCUUGCGCCUUAUAUUUACCCUGGGAUCCCAACCACCGCUGCCCAGGACACCAGAGUCAACUCUACGGCUGCAAAUAUAACGUUUGAAGUGUUUAAGGUGCAUUAUACAAAUGUGACACUAGAUGGCAAUUGUGAGGUUAUGGCAAAUUCAAUAUAUUCUUCAAAACACCUUUUUUUUUUAAAGUGUUUUCAUUUUUUAGAUUCCACCACUCACACAGGUUCAACGGAGUUGCUGUCCAUCUGAAGAUCAUAAGGCCUUUUGUGCCUAUAAUUAUCCCUCAGUUGGUAAAAUCAAAGAAGUACAAAAUACUUUACAACUCUCUCUCUCUCUCUCUCUCUCUCUAUAUAUAUAUAUAUAUAAAUGUUGGAAACAAGCCUCCUUCUUCGGGAGAAGCUGGCAACUCUCCCAGGCUCCCGGCUUGGUAUCCGGUGACCUCCCUGGCUGCAAUCCCCGCAGGAUCCAGGCUAGGUCUCAAUAGGCGACACUUCCCAGUGUGGGAAAUGCACACCCCCUCCCUCCUGCUUCCCUGGCAGGGAAAAGAGAUAGUCAGAAACGUCUGUUUACAUCCUUUAUUUCUGACUUUGCAGCACUACAG